This 1451-nucleotide ribosomal RNA is filed under the name Salmonella enterica. RNAcentral describes it as "partial 23S ribosomal RNA". It matches the Rfam family "Bacterial large subunit ribosomal RNA", at positions 1190 to 2623 of the family's 2925-position model. The record is from RNAcentral. Lineage: Bacteria; Pseudomonadati; Pseudomonadota; Gammaproteobacteria; Enterobacterales; Enterobacteriaceae.
UGCACCGAAGCUGCGGCAGCGACACUGUGUGUUGUUGGGUAGGGGAGCGUUCUGUAAGCCUGUGAAGGUGUGUCGUGAGGCAUGCUGGAGGUAUCAGAAGUGCGAAUGCUGACAUAAGUAACGAUAAAGCGGGUGAAAAGCCCGCUCGCCGGAAGACCAAGGGUUCCUGUCCAACGUUAAUCGGGGCAGGGUGAGUCGACCCCUAAGGCGAGGCCGAAAGGCGUAGUCGAUGGGAAACGGGUUAAUAUUCCCGUACUUGGUGUUACUGCGAAGGGGGGACGGAGAAGGCUAUGUUGGCCGGGCGACGGUUGUCCCGGUUUAAGCGUGUAGGUGUGUGUUCCAGGUAAAUCCGGUUCACUUUAACACUGAGGCGUGACGACGAGGCACUACGGUGCUGAAGCAACAAAUGCCCUGCUUCCAGGAAAAGCCUCUAAGCAUCAGGUAACAUCAAAUCGUACCCCAAACCGACACAGGUGGUCAGGUAGAGAAUACCAAGGCGCUUGAGAGAACUCGGGUGAAGGAACUAGGCAAAAUGGUGCCGUAACUUCGGGAGAAGGCACGCUGACACGUAGGUGAAGUGAUUUACUCAUGGAGCUGAAGUCAGUCGAAGAUACCAGCUGGCUGCAACUGUUUAUUAAAAACACAGCACUGUGCAAACACGAAAGUGGACGUAUACGGUGUGACGCCUGCCCGGUGCCGGAAGGUUAAUUGAUGGGGUCAGCGCAAGCGAAGCUCCUGAUCGAAGCCCCGGUAAACGGCGGCCGUAACUAUAACGGUCCUAAGGUAGCGAAAUUCCUUGUCGGGUAAGUUCCGACCUGCACGAAUGGCGUAAUGAUGGCCAGGCUGUCUCCACCCGAGACUCAGUGAAAUUGAACUCGCUGUGAAGAUGCAGUGUACCCGCGGCAAGACGGAAAGACCCCGUGAACCUUUACUAUAGCUUGACACUGAACAUUGAGCCUUGAUGUGUAGGAUAGGUGGGAGGCUUUGAAGUGUGGACGCCAGUCUGCAUGGAGCCGACCUUGAAAUACCACCCUUUAAUGUUUGAUGUUCUAACGUGGACCCGUUACCCGGGUUGCGGACAGUGUCUGGUGGGUAGUUUGACUGGGGCGGUCUCCUCCUAAAGAGUAACGGAGGAGCACGAAGGUUGGCUAAUCCUGGUCGGACAUCAGGAGGUUAGUGCAAUGGCAUAAGCCAGCUUGACUGCGAGCGUGACGGCGCGAGCAGGUGCGAAAGCAGGUCAUAGUGAUCCGGUGGUUCUGAAUGGAAGGGCCAUCGCUCAACGGAUAAAAGGUACUCCGGGGAUAACAGGCUGAUACCGCCCAAGAGUUCAUAUCGACGGCGGUGUUUGGCACCUCGAUGUCGGCUCAUCACAUCCUGGGGCUGAAGUAGGUCCCAAGGGUAUGGCUGUUCGCCAUUUAAAGUGGUACGCGAGCUGGGUUUAGAACGUCGUG